GAUGGCCACAAUACACAGAGUAUCACCAUACAACUGCAGAAGGCUUUAAGCAUUCACCCAUACAGGGUAACACCAUGCCUCAUCAGAAGGCUUCAGGCCAUCAGCCCAGUAAAAGGCUUCAAAAUGCAUGGAAGCAGGGAGCAAACUGGACCUUCAAAAAUGUUUGAUAGUCUCACAACACUACUGGCGCCCUUGUCUACAAGGUGGCCUGAACUCUUUCUGCGUACAAAAGCUAAAAUACUUUAGUAACUAAAAAGUGGGCUGACUAAAUAUAUAUAGUGUGAUAAUAUGAUCAUUGCCAUCAGGACAGAAGAAGGAGACAGAAACAACUAGACUCACACUGGGAGUUCCCCUGCCUGCACAGAGAAAGGGCUGUGGCAUUUACUGCGGCAUUUCCUGAACGUGCAUUUGUGCCUAUGUAAUACAUAGAAAACACAGAUAAACUUCUAGUAAAGAAGAGCAAUGGAAAGAAA
Long non-coding RNA from Passer domesticus (house sparrow), 473 nucleotides. RefSeq lists it as uncharacterized. NCBI's taxonomy places the organism in Eukaryota, Metazoa, Chordata, Aves, Passeriformes, Passeridae. The record is from RefSeq and is a predicted model, not a curated record. The transcript has 3 exons.